CAAGUUUAGUAUUAGAGUCUACAAUGAACCAUUUUAAAAACACAUGGAAUAGUAUAGAGGGCUGAGAAUGUAAAUACGUUUUCUUGAGGCUUCGAGCUCUCCAACGUGCUGCAACAAAGAUUAUUUGGGUUGGCUAAGGGGAUUCUCAUGUAUGAGUUGUUUGAGUGCUAAAAAUCUGAUGAAUGGUCUGAUGACAUGCUUUGAAGUUUUCUUGUACAUGAAAAGCUAUGCGUAUCAGCAUAAGCUGUCGUCUCAAUCUGAUGGGGCAAAUACUCUAGUUCAAGGCUAUUACAAAGUUGAUGGAAGAGAUGCCAUGGUUAAUACGCUUCCUUUGAUAAAGUUCUCCAAACUCCAUUUUCAUCAGAUUUUGAUAAUUGUGAUUCUUUGAAAUGAAUCAGAUAAAUGGACUAUGUAGAAGGUCAAAAUUUUUAUGUAGGAGAGGUACAGUUCAGUGCUGAGGUUUUCUGAGAGGAAGGAUCAAACUUUUUGGCAAUACAGUUCAUGUGGAAUGCAAUCUGGUGGUGAAAGAGAGUGUCGAUGCCUUGUAAGGGAACCUGUUAUUAAAAAUACUUGGCAUUGAGAGUCUACAAUCACAAUAGCGAGCCCAUGGAAAUAUACAUGAGGUUGAGAGAGAGAUUUUCUUGAGGCCUAGAGCUUUUCAAGAAUCUGCAUGAAGAUGAUUCUGGCUGACUAUAGGGAUUCUCGUGCAUGACUUACACUUCUCUUUGUGAUUUUAAUACUUUGAUUCAAGGAAAUUUAUCUGAUUUUCGUAACUUCUGAUUUCUUUCUGCUUUUGACCGAGUUUCAUACUCAGCAGAAUCAAAAAGAUCUUCAUACAUUGCCAUUUAUUUUAAACUUGUAUGAAAUUGUGAAUCUUUCGUUCAUUGUUUACAAGGUAAAGAAAAGAGAUAUGGAUAAGCCAAUACACGGAGAAGUUACUUGUUGGAUUUUAAGUCAAGCAUUGCAGAAACAGAAUUUGUAUCUAUUCAGAUGACUAAUGCUGCUAAUGAGGCUUGUUAACGAAACAUAACCUGGUCUCCUUAAGAAGCUUUCAUCUGUUGAAGAUUGUAAGUUGGCACAUCUGAAAAGCUUGAGUUGUAAAUCGCCUACCAAUUCAUCCGAAGCCUCCCUAUAGGAUGCAUGUCUUCUGAUCUAAAGGGAAGUUGUUGCAACAUGAGCAGCUGCCCAACAUUGAAUGGUGCAAGCAUUACCAGAUUCCCUACUUUGAGAUUGAUCAUAUUCUAACUUGAUGCUAAGUUCUCAAAAUUUGCUCAAAUUAUCAGAAAAUUCGUCUACGCCUAUGUUUAAGGAUGUUUCAGUGCAAUAUAUUCCAACCAUUAUACUGUCUUUAGUUGUGUAUAUUCAAUCUCAUGAUGCUAUACAUUUUUUUGAUAUUUUGAGGAAGAUUUCCUUAUUGCUAGGUGUAAAAGCCAAUGACUAUUA
Coffea eugenioides is the source of this 1443-nucleotide long non-coding RNA. RefSeq lists it as uncharacterized. The transcript is spliced from 4 exons. The record is from RefSeq and is a predicted model, not a curated record. NCBI's taxonomy places the organism in Eukaryota, Viridiplantae, Streptophyta, Magnoliopsida, Gentianales, Rubiaceae.